Pogoniulus pusillus (Red-fronted tinkerbird) is the source of this 1097-nucleotide long non-coding RNA. RefSeq lists it as uncharacterized. The record is from RefSeq and is a predicted model, not a curated record. The transcript has 2 exons. Lineage: Eukaryota; Metazoa; Chordata; Aves; Piciformes; Lybiidae.
CCCAGGCAGGCAGGAUGGGGGCCAGCUGGGGUGGCCAUGCACGUACCAUUACGCAGCCCGGCAAGAAGGAAAACCCGCCACCGGCUCUCUUAAUGCCUCCUGCAAAUGAAGUGUGAAACGUGCUUUCAAGAGAACAAGGGUUUGAAACACGACCACAAAGCCGACCCCAGAAAGAGGAGCAGUCCUUGUUUUGCUGUUCAUGCCUGUGGCUAAGGUUGGUGAUCCUACUCCAGCUGAGAGUCAAGCUCCUCUGAACGUGCAAACAGCAAACAGGCAGCUGCCUGGGUCGUCUGCCACUGCGUGCACCCAAAUUGCUCCCGCACAAAAUGGCUGGAGGAUAUUCAGCACUUCUCCGGGGGGGAGGUUUGCUGAGUGGAAAAUCAUCUGCACCUGACGUCCACCCUUCGAAGGGUCUUUUCUGGGCUGGAGCACAGCAGGAGCAGGCUGCCUUGCCUAAGCAGGGCUCCAGAGCUGGCUAUCCUCAGGCCUGUGGCCAGGCUGAAGUCCAGCCCUUUGGAAAGAGACAGGAGAGGAUCUUAUAUCCCAACAGAGAUGGCACUGGAGUGGGACUGGACUCGCUGAAUUUAAUACCAGGAAUAUUAGUCUACUGUCACUGCUCCCUCUUGGCUUUUCAACAGGUGAAAAAGUCCUUAGGAAAAACCUGUUCUCCCCUUCCGUAGCAAAGAGCAGGUUGGAGACCAUCAGAUCCAGCAGGGUGAUGUCAAAUGGCAACAGCAGCCCCAGUAUACCCAGUACCCCAAAACAGCAACACGGAUGAGCAAGAGGCAAAGCAGGGAGAGGGAAAAAAACCAAUACCUUGUAGUACAAACCUCCAUUGGGGUGGAAUAUUCCACCACACCUCAGAUAAUCUCUCUGCUAGAGACACAAUCGAUAGCAUGCAAACGAAAUCCAGCUGAAAACACUAAACAUUUCCACAUGCCCUUUUGGAGGGAACAAAAUCCUUAGGAGAAAACAAAAGCCAGGCGAAGAGCUCAGGUCUCCUUUAAUUACCGCAGCACGGUGAGAGAUAAAACAGAAAGCCUUCAGAAUAAACAAAAGGAUUUGAUUUCCUCCACUUCAGCAAGGGCAGCCACCAU